RNAcentral lists this ribosomal RNA (221 nucleotides) under Deltaproteobacteria bacterium GWA2_43_19. RNAcentral describes it as "partial 23S ribosomal RNA". It matches the Rfam family "Bacterial large subunit ribosomal RNA", at positions 2729 to 2925 of the family's 2925-position model. Lineage: Bacteria; Deltaproteobacteria. RNAcentral also lists the same sequence under 1 other name. The record is from RNAcentral.
CCAAGGGCAACGCUGGGUAGCUGUGUGCCGAAGGGAUAACCGCUGAAAGCAUCUAAGUGGGAAGCCCCUCCUAAGAUAAGAUAUCCCGGGCCGCAAGGCUCCUAAAGGUCACUCGGAGACUACGAGUUUGAUAGGCCGGAUGUGUAAGUCCAGUAAUGGAUUGAGCUUACCGGUACUAAUUGACCGUGAGGCUUGACCAUAAUAAUAUCUAAGCGUUUGGG